Phragmites australis (common reed) is the source of this 1321-nucleotide long non-coding RNA. RefSeq lists it as uncharacterized. The transcript has 5 exons. Lineage: Eukaryota; Viridiplantae; Streptophyta; Magnoliopsida; Poales; Poaceae. The record is from RefSeq and is a predicted model, not a curated record.
CCGGAUCCCUGCUUGAGAAGUUCACCCUCCGACAACAUGCUUGUGGAAAUCGUGUGACUUGUGAAUGGUCUGGUGCAGUCGGAUGAGCAAUGAUUGGUCGGGUGCCUCUGGUCAGGUGCCAGUCGUGAAAACAAUUAUUUUUCAAAUUUUUCAAUCCAAAAAAUGUUAAUUGGGGUACUGACUAUCACUGCAAGCUAAGGCCUUCAGUCGGCUAUGAUAACCCUCUUAACUGCUAGCCCCUGAGCCAGUAGUGAUAGUCGGGGACUAUCACUGCUCGUUGCCCACUGCUGACUUCAAAACCGGUAGUGAAUGCCACUUUAGAGCCGGCAGUGAAACCAAUACUUUCUGUAGCAAUGAGUGUGGCUUGUCGAUGAUGAAGGGUACGGGUUUAGUAGCACACACACCACCACUUUUGGUUUGUAGCCUCAUUCUUGUUAUGAAGUUUUUUUGUUCAUGUUGGUAGCUAAGCUGACUUGUGUAAUGUAACAAAUAAAUUUUUGUACGGUUCGGUUAUGGACUAAAUUUGCUCUAUAUGUUUCAGUAUAGAUCUUUGUGCUAUAUUUAUCUCAUGCCUGUGCUUGUGCCUCAGUUUUUUCCCGCUGUGCAGGGGAGGUGUUGCCGAAAUUUGAAUUUUUUCUGGCAGGCUUACAUUUUAUUAGGUUGGUUGUGUAGUCUUCCGAGCGAGAGGCAUGUAUGGGUGUUACAUUAAUUUUGACCGAUUACUAUUAGCCAUAUGUGAUGAGCUAUGAUCUAUAUAUGGAACUGAAGGUAAAACCCUUUCCUCGAAAAAGGAAUCACCAAAACUGAAGCACAUCCAAGUGGCGAUUGUGUCCUCCGACAAUACUCACAAGCAGAUCAAAACUUGAGAGCAAAAGACUGCAUCCUAAAGAUUAUCAAGGAUGCUGACAUGCUUUGCGGUCCGACCUACAUUUUACGAGCAUAAUGGAUGCAAUGAAAGAAUAUGAAAGCUAGGUAUCUCAAGGUUUUGACUUAUUGAAGUGACUUUAGUGGAGGGUCCGAAGCAAGCCUUGAAAUGCUUGACUGAGUGCUUGGAUGGAGGAGCAAAGGAGUGCAUCCUAAAGCCUAUCAAGGAUGCUGAAAUACUUUGCAGUCCGAUCUACAUGUGAUGAGCAUGAUGGAUGCAAUGAAAGAAUAUUCAAUGUAACUCUCAUUUUGGUGUCAUGUAUCGAGUAAUUUAUUAUUCAUUAUUUAGAUACAAUGAUGUAUAGUCUUCUUCUAUCUUACCAUGUGUUUGAUACAUUUGAUGUGCUACGUGUUUGAUUCGCUUGAACUACUAUGUGUUUGCACCGCUUGGACUACA